This is a non-coding RNA of Nerophis lumbriciformis (worm pipefish), 1850 nucleotides long. The record is from RefSeq and is a predicted model, not a curated record. Lineage: Eukaryota; Metazoa; Chordata; Actinopteri; Syngnathiformes; Syngnathidae.
ACAGAAUAAACCACAUGAUGUUAGCACAUCAGUGAAGGACAAUGAGUAAAUUACAUUAAUAACAUCCUGUAAUUUGAUUUUAAUAUUACUAUUUAUUACAUAUUUUGAUAGAUUACAAUUUAACACCAAUGAGAGCAUUUUAAAACUGAUCAUUAUUCAGAAAUGAUUAACCACGACAAAUGACGAUGGACUACUAUCAACAGCAACAUACCACACACACCCGAAUUGUCCAACUUCACCAUUAAAGAGUGUCUGAAAGCCUCUCUUGUCGUAAGAAGAUAUCAGACCAGCAUUCUGCACCCAGAGUAACCUACUCUUAUCACACAAAUGGUUGAAAGACUUUGAAACAUCCUCCUAAACUAACUUGGAGGAAGCUUAGGACUUAUCCAAACACUGGAGUCCUCACCGUGGUCAUUAGACUCGGGUGUGCGGAACAUCCUGGUAACUACGGGAGACAAGUCCUCGUAGGCGGAGCCAAGUGAUUGACAGGUGAGGUGAACCAAAUCUGAGGGGACAAAAACAAAGGUGACAUGGUUUCUUUCUUUGUCCACAAAGUGAUGAAGAUGAUCUCACGUGUUCCUGGCAUGCACGUCAUGGUGGAAGGACACAGCUCCACCAUCCUGACUGCGGGGCGCCCCGCCUCCAUCGGAGGGACCGUUACCACGGAGACCUGGAGCAAACACGCCGUGAGUUCAUUGUGCGUGGAAGGCGUCGAUGAUGCAACUCACCUGCUGCUCGGAGUCGCUCGGCAGGAUAGAGCGGUCUGUGAUCAGCACGGCUCUGGAAAUAAACCUGGAGAGAGGAAGGUGGCCACGCCCCCUUCAUUAACGCUCUUCAAGGUAAAAGGCGGCGCGUAGGGUCUCACCUGGUGGGCGUGGCCAUCCUCUUAAAGUCUGCCGACAAGUAGUUGUCUUCUAGCACAAAAUGGCUGCCAGAGAUUCGCUGUCCGUGGCUGUCAAUCACCGCCUUACAUCUGGCGGGAAGGGGGAGGAGCCAGGAUGAGACGACGCAGGUAGUGAUGAAGAGGAGGCGUGGCUACCUGUUGGUGGUCUUGUCAAGGAGCAGGCAGCUGACGGGGUGUCUGAGGCAGUAGACGCCGCCGAAGACUGCACACAUCCUGAAAGCAGCGUCACAUUGAGGCCUCGCCUCCUCGACUUUGCUCGCCCCUUUUUCCUUACCGACAGAAACACUGCGGGAUCUCGCCCAGGCCGUAGACGGGGAACAGGAAGGGCGUGUUACCGUAGCGACCCAGGCAUCGCAGGAAGUGGCGCGUGGCGGCCAGGCCCUCGUCGGCGGGCGUGUCCUCGGUCACCAUGGCGAUAGAGUGGAGCAGGAAGUGCUCCAGGUUGUCACCCAGCUGCCGCUGUUGGAGAAACUCCAAAUAUGUCCGCGCGCCGUCUAGUGCGAGGAACGUAGUGAGAAGAGGCGGCGGGGAAAGGACGCGGACAUCCGGCGACGUACGUCUCACCCUCGCGCUCCUCCGUCUCCUCCAUACAGGAAGUGAGGAAACGCAUCAACUUCCUCUUCUCCACCACCGACAGCUCACGACUGGCGAACACGUCGGCGCGGCUGCACGGCACCUGGCGGACCACACGCCGGUCACGCGGACGUCUCGCCUCAAAGUGCACCGGCGACGUACCUGCUCCACGUUUCCACGGCGAUAGGUCGACCAACGAGCCUCGAGCAAACAUCAACUAAAAGGAUAAGGAAACGUCGGCGCUGGAUGGACGAUGACGGGGUAUGAGGUCCUCUGUUACCUUGGAGACCAGAUCGAUGUUGAACCGUCGUCCUUCUUUCACCAGCUGAGCAAAGGUGAUCUUCUUGCAUGGCGUUAAUUGGCUGGCGGCGUC